Molecule: unclassified non-coding RNA, 392 nt
Filed under: fungal sp.
Lineage: Eukaryota; Fungi
Also listed under: 1 other name
Description: partial internal transcribed spacer region
Rfam family: Eukaryotic small subunit ribosomal RNA (bases 1-46)
Source: RNAcentral
AAGUCGUAACAAGGUUUCCGUAGGUGAACCUGCGGAAGGAUCAUUAACACGUUUCCACGUCGCUAACCAACUUUAUACUACGAACUGAACUCGGUGAUAAUUUGAUGAUGCUCUGUGCGAGGGGCUGCACCCGGACGCGUACUUCAUGGCGGCCACGUUCCUUCACAUACUCAGCCUUUGAGCUGGGAAGCUAGUCAUUUUAUCAUCUCCAAUACCGCGGACUGGGACACUUCCAACGGGUUUCGAACAUGCCCUACCGCACCCCAUAUUAACCAUAUUUUACUAUUUUGGCUAACAUAGAUGCACGGAGCCCCACCGCCUCGGAGGCAUGGUGCAUCUCUCGGGUUUUAAUUAACUCAGUACAACUCUUAGCAACGGAUAUCUUGGUUCUC